GGCAAUUACUCUCGUUCAAUGAGAUCAGACUUCAACAGUUUGCCAGAGCGUUCGGAAUACGUCACGAUAUCUGAGAAAUACGCGAAUAUGCUUGGUUCUGAGAUGAGAUGCUAUCCUAAUGGAAGAAGCGGACAUGUUCGAAGCGACGGAUAAGAUGGAAGCAACGGAAUAU
Molecule: long non-coding RNA, 172 nt
Organism: Lineus longissimus
Lineage: Eukaryota; Metazoa; Nemertea; Pilidiophora; Heteronemertea; Lineidae
Exons: 2
Source: RefSeq, a predicted model, not a curated record